This is a non-coding RNA of Pelobates cultripes (western spadefoot toad), 278 nucleotides long. The record is from the annotation of a GenBank genome assembly. NCBI's taxonomy places the organism in Eukaryota, Metazoa, Chordata, Amphibia, Anura, Pelobatidae.
GGCUGAGCAAUUGCCCUCGAGAAAAGCCGGGACUUUUAAAUGACCGUUAACCAAUCGGAAGCGGGAUCCCCCUAUCGUCAUUGAUGACGUAUCGGGAUGAUCCCGCGUCACGUGUGACGUGCCAUGUUGGUUAACGGUCAUUUAAAAGUCCCGGCUUUUCUCGAGGGCAAUUGCUCAGCUCCUGACGAAGGUGUUAUUACACACCGAAACGCGCAUCGGGCGAUAGCUCGUCGUUCUUUUUCACUCCACCUAUGCACUAAGGGACACUUUGUUGCACU